ACCGUCACUCCGCCGCCCACCGCCACUCUGCCACCCACCGCCGAUCAGCGCCACACCGCCGCCCACCGUCGCCCACCGCCGUUCUACCUUUCACUUGCAUCGCCGUUCCUCCGAGUGCUAGAAUCUCCAGAAAAGUUUUUUGUUUAGGUUCUGGUUUUAUCUGUUUUAGUUUAGAUUCCACCUUUUAUUUUUUAUUUUAGGAUCUGGUUUAUUUGUUUGUGCGUUGUUUUCAAAGUGAAAUUUGGGGGGGGGGGGGUUGUGUUUGCUGGGAAUUUGAAUUAUGCUGACUUUUGACUAAUUUGGGAAUCAAAUGAUGUGGGGGCUAAAAUGGGUGCACGGUGCACCUAAUGAUUCUUUGCAAACAAUAUGUUUUGCUUUGCUUUGAUUUGAUUAGUAUAUGUAUUUUCUUUGUACUAUGAUCUGUUUUUUUUUUAUGUUCUCUCAAAAAUUGAAGAUUAAUUUUCUAGUUCCAAUUUCUCAAUUAUUCCUAAUUAGAGUUGUGCCAGCAAAGUUUUCGUGGGUUUAAGAGCUCAAUCUCCAAUUAUUUGUUCUCAUCUUCACUCCUUUAUUAUUCAAAUUACUGUAAAUUUGUCCUUUUCUUUUCUUCUUUAUGAAAAUGCGCAGAAUUUUGUCUGGCAACUUUACUAUAUGUAUUUUCUUUGUACUACCUGUUUGUGAAUUAUGAGUUUGAUUUUGCUUGUACUCAGUGCCACAAUUGCUUUUUCAAAAUUUUCCUUUUUUUUUUUUUUUAUGUUCGGUAAUGUUAAAAUUAGGCUUGCUUAUGGCGGAUUUUUGCAAUUUAUGUUCUUUUUUUCUAACUCGUAUUUUUUUCCUAGAGGAUUGUUGUUUUUGCUACUUCUAAUACAGU
Molecule: long non-coding RNA, 868 nt
Filed under: Erythranthe guttata (spotted monkey flower)
Lineage: Eukaryota; Viridiplantae; Streptophyta; Magnoliopsida; Lamiales; Phrymaceae
Description: long non-coding RNA (EGUT_LNC003376)
Source: RNAcentral